RNAcentral lists this ribosomal RNA (406 nucleotides) under uncultured bacterium. RNAcentral's name for it is "partial 16S ribosomal RNA". It matches the Rfam family "Bacterial small subunit ribosomal RNA", at positions 30 to 526 of the family's 1533-position model. The record is from RNAcentral.
AUUGAACGCUGGCGGCAGGCCUAACACAUGCAAGUCGAACGAUUGCCGGACGGGUGAGUAAUGUCUGGGUAACUGCCCGAUGGAGGGGGAUAACUACUGGAAACGGUAGCUAAUACCGCAUACUAUUGGCUGUCCCCAUAUGGGUUUAGCUCGUAGGUGGGGUAACGGCUCACCUAGACGACGCCCCCUAGCUGGUCUGAGAGGAUGACCAGCAACGCUGGAACUGAGGAACGGUCCAGACUCCUACGGGAGGCAGCAGUGGGGAAUAUUGCACAAUGGGCGCAAUCCUGAUGCAGCCAUGCGGCGUGUAUGAAGAAGGCCUUCGGGUUGUAAAGUACUUUCAGCGAGGAGGCGUUACUCGCAGAAGAGGCACCGGCUAACUCCGUGCCAGCAGCCGCGGUAAUUC